AAGUGGCGAACGGGUGAGUAACACGUAGGUGACCUGCCCCGAAAAGGGGGAUAACUCCUCGAAAGAGGAGCUAACACCCCGGAUGUCUAACGUUAGAAAAGUUAGACUAAAACCCUGGUGUUUCGGGAGGGGCCUGCGGGCUAUCAGCUAGUUGGUGGGGUAAAGGCCUACCAAGGCGAAGACGGCUAGGGGGCGUGAGAGCGUGAUCCCCCACAAGGGAACUGAGAAACGGUCCCUACUCCUACGGGAGGCAGCAGUGAGGAAUAUUGAGCAAUGGGCGCAAGCCUGACUCAGCAACGCCGCGUGGAUGACGAAGGCCUUCGGGUUGUAAAAUCCUUUUCUGCGGGAAGAUAAUGACGGUACCGCAGGAAUAAGUUCCGGCUAACUACGUGCCAGCAGCCGCGGUAAAACGUAGGGGACAAGCGUUAUCCGGAUUUACUGGGCGUAAAGCGCCCGUAGGCGGCCUGUCAAGUUGGAUGUGAAAGCUCCUGGCUUAACUGGGAGAGGUCAUUCAAAACUGACAGGCUAGAGGAUGGAAGAGGAGAGCGGAAUUCCCGGUGUAGUGGUGGAAUGCGUAGAGAUCGGGAGGAACACCAGUGGCGAAAGCGGCUCUCUGGUCCGUACC
Molecule: ribosomal RNA, 625 nt
Filed under: uncultured bacterium
Lineage: Bacteria
Description: bacterial SSU rRNA
Rfam family: Bacterial small subunit ribosomal RNA
Source: RNAcentral